RNAcentral lists this ribosomal RNA (599 nucleotides) under Colletotrichum gloeosporioides. Its description in RNAcentral is "eukaryotic LSU rRNA". The stretch from base 242 to 395 matches the Rfam family "5.8S ribosomal RNA". The record is from RNAcentral. Lineage: Eukaryota; Fungi; Ascomycota; Sordariomycetes; Glomerellales; Glomerellaceae.
UCUUGGUCAAUUAGAGGAAGUAAAAGUCGUAACAAGGUCUCCGUUGGUGAACCAGCGGAGGGAUCAUUACUGAGUUUACGCUCUACAACCCUUUGUGAACAUACCUAUAACUGUUGCUUCGGCGGGUAGGGUCUCCGCGACCCUCCCGGCCUCCCGCCUCCGGGCGGGUCGGCGCCCGCCGGAGGAUAACCAAACUCUGAUUUAACGACGUUUCUUCUGAGUGGUACAAGCAAAUAAUCAAAACUUUUAACAACGGAUCUCUUGGUUCUGGCAUCGAUGAAGAACGCAGCGAAAUGCGAUAAGUAAUGUGAAUUGCAGAAUUCAGUGAAUCAUCGAAUCUUUGAACGCACAUUGCGCCCGCCAGCACUCUGGCGGGCAUGCCUGUUCGAGCGUCAUUUCAACCCUCAAGCUCUGCUUGGUGUUGGGGCCCUACAGCUGAUGUAGGCCCUCAAAGGUAGUGGCGGACCCUCCCGGAGCCUCCUUUGCGUAGUAACUUUACGUCUCGCACUGGGAUCCGGAGGGACUCUUGCCGUAAAACCCCCAAUUUUCCAAAGGUUGACCUCGGAUCAGGUAGGAAUACCCGCUGAACUUAAGCAUAU